Molecule: ribosomal RNA, 492 nt
Filed under: uncultured bacterium
Lineage: Bacteria
Description: partial 16S ribosomal RNA
Rfam family: Bacterial small subunit ribosomal RNA
Source: RNAcentral
AGUGAACGCUGGCGGUAGGCCUAACACAUGCAAGUCGAACGGCAGCACAGUAAGAGCUUGCUCUUACGGGUGGCGAGUGGCGGACGGGUGAGGAAUACAUCGGAAUCUACUUUUUCGUGGGGGAUAACGUAGGGAAACUUACGCUAAUACCGCAUACGACCUACGGGUGAGAGCAGGGGAUCUUCGGACCUUGCGCGAUUGAAUGAGCCGAUGUCGGAUUAGCUAGUUGGCGGGGUAAAGGCCCACCAAGGCGACGAUCCGUAGCUGGUCUGAGAGGAUGAUCAGCCACACUGGAACUGAGACACGGUCCAGACUCCUACGGGAGGCAGCAGUGGGGAAUAUUGGACAAUGGGCGCAAGCCUGAUCCAGCCAUACCGCGUGGGUGAAGAGGGCCUUCGGGUUGUAAAGCCCUUUUGUUGGGAAAGAAAAGCAGCAGGUUAAUACCCCGCUGUUCUGACGGUACCCAAAGAAUAAGCACCGGCUAACUUCGUG